CCUACGGGGGGCUGCAGUGGGGAAUAUUGGACAAUGGGGGGAACCCUGAUCCAGCCAUGCCGCGUGUGUGAAGAAGGCCCUCGGGUUGUAAAGCACUUUCAGUGAGGAAGAACGCCUGGUGGUUAAUACCCAUCAGGAAAGACAUCACUCACAGAAGAAGCACCGGCUAACUCCGUGCCAGCAGCCGCGGUAAUACGGAGGGUGCGAGCGUUAAUCGGAAUUACUGGGCGUAAAGCGCGCGUAGGUGGCUUGAUAAGCCGGUUGUGAAAGCCCCGGGCUCAACCUGGGAACGGCAUCCGGAACUGUGAAGCUAGAGUGCAGGAGAGGAAGGUAGAAUUCCCGGUGUAGCGGUGAAAUGCGUAGAGCUCGGGAGGAAUACCAGUGGCGAAGGCGGCCUUCUGGACUGACACUGACACUGAGGUGCGAAAGCGUGGGUAGCAAACAGGAUUAGAUACCCGGGUAGUC
RNAcentral lists this ribosomal RNA (465 nucleotides) under Vreelandella stevensii. Its description in RNAcentral is "partial 16S ribosomal RNA". It matches the Rfam family "Bacterial small subunit ribosomal RNA", at positions 338 to 795 of the family's 1533-position model. The record is from RNAcentral. Lineage: Bacteria; Pseudomonadati; Pseudomonadota; Gammaproteobacteria; Oceanospirillales; Halomonadaceae.